Molecule: small nuclear RNA, 159 nt
Organism: Arvicanthis niloticus (Nile rat)
Lineage: Eukaryota; Metazoa; Chordata; Mammalia; Rodentia; Muridae
Product: U1 spliceosomal RNA
Source: RefSeq, a predicted model, not a curated record
CUACUAACCUGGCAGGGAGAUGCUGUGAUCAGGUGGUUUCCCAGCAAGCAGCUUAUCCAUUGCACUUGGAUAUGUUGGCCCCUGGGAUUUCCCCAAAUGUGGUAAACUCAACUGUAUAGUUUGUGAUAGUGGAGGGGACUGCAUUCGAGUUCUCUUCUG